CAGAGCAAUACCAAUAGAAUGAUUAUUAAUCACUUGGAGGCAAAAAAAAACCCUUGUACCCAAAUAUCUCUUGCCAUCAUGCAAUCAAACAACCUCUUCAUUUUUUUUAGUAUCUUUUCCAAAAUUUAAUAGCAAACAUGAUAAUGUGCUUGAAAGCUCACACAUGCAAUUGAAACAUUCUUAGUACUUCUUUACACAUUGUGAAAUUGGACGUUAGAUUUGCCACGUUUUCCGGUAAUCUGUAAUCAAAUUAAAUGUUACCCCCAAGAAAAAAAAAAUGAAAUAAAUAAAGAAGGGCAGAAAGUAAGGAGGAAGAAAAGCGAAGGCUGCUUCUCCCUUUCUUUCAGAAAACUAGCUUCCUUCGCAUCAAUGGGGCCUGAUUGCAUUUCCCAGUAAAGGCGGCGAGAUCUCGGAUGGUUUCGCCGAUCAAAUCCUUGAAAAUUUGCCUUUCAAUGUAUAAAACUGUUUCAGACAUCUCAAUUGGGCAGUAUCCCCAUCCACUGAUAGAGUCUCCUGCGAGGUCCUUCUUUAGCAGACCACAAAUCACCUCCAACAAAUCAUCCGAUGCAUCCCUCUCGCGAAUUCUUUGAAAUUCUGACCAAAUUUGUUGCAAUGAAGUUUCUCCACCGGCAGAAUUUGCACAACUAAUAGCCUUCCAGGGAGGCAAUUGCUUCUUCCGAUUGAGAAUUUCCACGACCGUGUCGAAAGUAAGCUUCCUUUGGAGUCUAGAGACUGCGGACGUGUCUUUUCCCUCUAAAUACUGUUGCUUUUCUAGCAACAGGAAGACAUCAGAAUCUUCAGGUAAAUAAUUGGAAGCCCUGAUAAUAUCAGAAAUGUAGAUGAAAUCACAGUCGUUUGAAUUUUCCUCUGAUUUUAACUUCACCUGUGAGAUCGCCGGGCUCCAAAUAUCAUCUUCAAAUUCGGCCAAAUGAUCUUUGAAAUCAAUGCUCCGUUUCAUGACAGGUGAAGGAGAAGAUUCCUCCUUGUAAAAUGACGAGUCAAGCACCGAUACUGGACUCGGUUGCAACUCAGUCGCUGUCAUUUCAGCUAUGCUAUGAAGCAGCUUAUCGCACCUCUCCAGCAGGCUCCUACCUUCCUUGUAUUCCUCCAUUUUCGACCUCUCUGUAUCAGUCUGAGAAGGCGUGCUGAUACUACUUUCAGAAAUGGAGGAUGAUUCAUCCUCUGCGGGAAUAAACACCUUCUCCUCCUUCUGGUAAAUCUCAACCGUUGGUUUCUUGUUUCUGGGUGAUCGGUUUGUGCUCGGAUCUGGUACGGUUCUCCUCGUACUAACUUUAGGAGACUGAACCGGAGACACUCUUCUUCGCUCAGUUGAAUUAUCACUU
This 1343-nucleotide unclassified non-coding RNA is filed under the name Hevea brasiliensis (rubber tree). Lineage: Eukaryota; Viridiplantae; Streptophyta; Magnoliopsida; Malpighiales; Euphorbiaceae. The record is from RNAcentral.